RNAcentral lists this ribosomal RNA (527 nucleotides) under uncultured Enterobacterales bacterium. RNAcentral's name for it is "bacterial SSU rRNA". It matches the Rfam family "Bacterial small subunit ribosomal RNA", at positions 12 to 528 of the family's 1533-position model. The record is from RNAcentral. Lineage: Bacteria; Pseudomonadati; Pseudomonadota; Gammaproteobacteria; Enterobacterales.
UUUGAUCCUGGCUCAGAUUGAACGCUGGCGGCAGGCCUAACACAUGCAAGUCGAACGGUAGCACAGAGGAGCUUGCUCCUUGGGUGACGAGUGGCGGACGGGUGAGUAAUGUCUGGGAAACUGCCCGAUGGAGGGGGAUAACUACUGGAAACGGUAGCUAAUACCGCAUAACGUCGCAAGACCAAAGAGGGGGACCUUCGGGCCUCUUGCCAUCGGAUGUGCCCAGAUGGGAUUAGCUAGUAGGUGGGGUAACGGCUCACCUAGGCGACGAUCCCUAGCUGGUCUGAGAGGAUGACCAGCCACACUGGAACUGAGACACGGUCCAGACUCCUACGGGAGGCAGCAGUGGGGAAUAUUGCGCAAUGGGCGCAAGCCUGAUGCAGCCAUGCCGCGUGUAUGAAGAAGGCCUUCGGGUUGUAAAGUACUUUCAGCGAGGAGGAAGGCAUUAAGGUUAAUAACCUUAGUGAUUGACGUUACUCGCAGAAGAAGCACCGGCUAACUCCGUGCCAGCAGCCGCGGUAAAAGGG